Molecule: ribosomal RNA, 253 nt
Filed under: uncultured bacterium
Lineage: Bacteria
Description: partial 16S ribosomal RNA
Rfam family: Bacterial small subunit ribosomal RNA
Source: RNAcentral
UCCGGAGGGCGCAAGCGUUGUUCGGAAUCACUGGGCGUAAAGCGCGUGCAGGCGGCUUGGUAAGUCGGGUGUGAAAUCCCGGAGCUCAACUCCGGAACUGCACCCGAUACUGCCUCGCUAGAGUCCCGGAGAGGAUGGCGGAAUUUCCGGUGUAGAGGUGAAAUUCGUAGAUAUCGGAAGGAACACCAGCGGCGAAGGCGGCCAUCUGGACGGUGCCUGACGCUCAGACGCGAAAGCGUGGGGAGAAAACAGG